CGAAGGGGGCUAGCGUUGUUCGGAUUUACUGGGCGUAAAGCGCACGUAGGCGGAUCUUUAAGUCAGAGGUGAAAUCCCAAGGCUCAACCUUGGAACUGCCUUUGAUACUGGGGAUCUUGAGUCCGGGAGAGGUGAGUGGAACUGCGAGUGUAGAGGUGAAAUUCGUAGAUAUUCGCAAGAACACCAGUGGCGAAGGCGGCUCACUGGCCCGGUACUGACGCUGAGGUGCGAAAGCGUGGGGAGCAAACAGGA
RNAcentral lists this ribosomal RNA (252 nucleotides) under uncultured Beijerinckia sp. Its description in RNAcentral is "partial 16S ribosomal RNA". It matches the Rfam family "Bacterial small subunit ribosomal RNA", at positions 526 to 777 of the family's 1533-position model. The record is from RNAcentral. Lineage: Bacteria; Pseudomonadati; Pseudomonadota; Alphaproteobacteria; Hyphomicrobiales; Beijerinckiaceae.